UAAAAUAUUGUAGAUGUGUGGCUGGUUGUAGCCAUGGGAUCUCCAACUGCAUGCAGGAGCAACCUGGAGAGACUUUGACAGCCCAGGGCAGUUAAAUACCUACAGCUGCCACUUGCCUUUCCUAAUGCA
Molecule: small nucleolar RNA, 129 nt
Organism: Pteronotus mesoamericanus
Lineage: Eukaryota; Metazoa; Chordata; Mammalia; Chiroptera; Mormoopidae
Product: small nucleolar RNA SNORA44
Exons: 1
Source: RefSeq, a predicted model, not a curated record